This 450-nucleotide ribosomal RNA is filed under the name uncultured Entrophospora. RNAcentral describes it as "SSU rRNA". It matches the Rfam family "Eukaryotic small subunit ribosomal RNA", at positions 569 to 1016 of the family's 1831-position model. The record is from RNAcentral. Lineage: Eukaryota; Fungi; Glomeromycota; Glomeromycetes; Entrophosporales; Entrophosporaceae.
AGCAGCCGCGGUAAUUCCAGCUCCAAUAGCGUAUAUUAAAGUUGUUGCAGUUAAAAAGCUCGUAGUUGAAUUUCGGGAUUGACGUGAUGGUCAUGCCUUAAGGGGUAUGAACUGUCACAGUUGAUUUCUCACCUUCUGGAGAAACUUGAUGUCCUUUAUUGGGUGUCUUGCGGAUCCAGGACCUUUACCUUGAAAAAAUUAGAGUGUUUAAAGCAGGCAUUUUUGCUCGAAUACAUUAGCAUGGAAUAAUAGAAUAGGACGGCAUGGUUCUAUUUUGUUGGUUUCUAGGAUCACCGUAAUGAUUAAUAGGGAUAGUUGGGGGCAUUAGUAUUCAAUUGUCAGAGGUGAAAUUCUUGGAUUUAUUGAAGACUAACUACUGCGAAAGCAUUUGCCAAGGAUGUUUUCAUUAAUCAAGAACGAAAGUUAGGGGAUCGAAGACGAUCAGAUACC